UACGUAGGGGGCAAGCGUUGUCCGGAUUUACUGGGCGUAAAGAGCGCGUAGGCGGAGAUCUAAGCGUGGCCUGAAAGCCCCCGGCUCAACCGGGGAGUGCGGCUGCGAACUGGGUUUCUUGAGGACGAUAGAGGAGAGUGGAAUUCCUGGUGUAGCGGUGAAAUGCGUAGAUAUCAGGAGGAACACCCGAGGCGAAGGCGGCUCUCUGGGCCGAUACUGACGCUGAGGAGCGAAAGCGUGGGGAGCGAACAGG
RNAcentral lists this ribosomal RNA (253 nucleotides) under uncultured bacterium. RNAcentral describes it as "partial 16S ribosomal RNA". It matches the Rfam family "Bacterial small subunit ribosomal RNA", at positions 524 to 776 of the family's 1533-position model. The record is from RNAcentral.